UUUAAAUGGCCGCAGUAUACUAACUGUGCAAAGGUAGCAUAAUCAUUAGUCUUUUAAUUGAAGGCUGGUAUGAAUGGUUGGACGAGAUAUUAACUGUUUCAUAAAUAUUUAUAUUAGAAUUUUAUUUUUUAGUCAAAAAGCUAAAAUUAAUUUAAAAGACGAGAAGACCCUAUAAAUCUUUAUAUUUAUUUUAUUAAAAUUUUUUAGAAUAUUUUUAUUUUAAUAAUAGAUAAUAUUUUAUUGGGGUGAUAUUAAAAUUUAUUAAACUUUUAAUUAUUUAUAUCAUUAAUUAAUGAAUAAUUGAUCCGUUAUUAACGAUUAAGAAAUUAAGUUACUUUAGGGAUAACAGCGUAAUUUUUUUGGAGAGUUCAUAUCGAUAAAAAAGAUUGCGACCUCGAUGUUGGAUUAAGAUAUAAUUUUAGGUGUAGCCGCUUAAAUUUUAAGUC
This 446-nucleotide ribosomal RNA is filed under the name Hydrotaea cyrtoneurina. Its description in RNAcentral is "partial 16S ribosomal RNA". Lineage: Eukaryota; Metazoa; Arthropoda; Insecta; Diptera; Muscidae. The record is from RNAcentral.